This is a long non-coding RNA of Nylanderia fulva, 636 nucleotides long. RefSeq lists it as uncharacterized. The record is from RefSeq and is a predicted model, not a curated record. NCBI's taxonomy places the organism in Eukaryota, Metazoa, Arthropoda, Insecta, Hymenoptera, Formicidae.
UCGGGCGGCUCGCUCACGUCGAUCGGGCGUCACUCAGCACGGCUCGGCUCGGACUCGAGCUUCCUCCACUCGGAUCCCUGAGAGAUGCGUCUCAGAUUGACGCGACACGACGAUCGGACGACCGCGGUGCGGCCAUCUUUAAAUCGAUCUUUUCGCGAGCGACAUUUCUUAUCGCGCAGCAGUAGACUCUGAUAGUCCGACUAAAUAGAUGCGUUCGAAAAUUCUAUCUGUAGAAUUAAUACAAUUAGAUUGACCAAUCAGGAGGAAAGGAGCGGAAAUUUCUUUGCUUCUGAUUGGUCAACGAAAGGCUUUUUUAUUAUAAGGUUGUUUGCACGUCAGAUUUUCGAACGCAUCCUAACCAAAGGCGACUCAUUCCCCUCGAUAGCCGCGCGCGCAUAUCGCAUAUCGAUAUCGACGAGAUGAUGCUUGAAACACUCACGUUGAGGAAAAGAAUGCGUGAAUUGGAUAGAUUAAGAUAAAUCAACACUCGGUUCUGUACGUGUCAUUAAAAAAAAAUUGCAACCAGCCAGGUGACAUCAAUUAUGAAAUAUACACACAUAUAUAUGAAUACACACAUGUGUUUCCAGUUAUGUAAUCAUGAAAAAUUAUUAUUCACAUUAAAGGUAUUAUAUAGGA